AUACGGAGGGUGCAAGCGUUGUUCGGAAUUAUUGGGCGUAAAGCGCGUGUAGGCGGUUGUUUAAGUCUGAUGUGAAAGCCCUGGGCUCAACCUGGGAAGUGCAUUGGAAACUGGGCAACUUGAGUACGGGAGAGGGUAGUGGAAUUCCGAGCGUAGGGGUGAAAUCCGUAGAUAUUAGGAGGGACACCGGUGGCGAAGGCGGCUACCUGGACCGAUAUUGACGCUGAGACGCGAAAGCGUGGGGAGC
Molecule: ribosomal RNA, 247 nt
Filed under: uncultured bacterium
Lineage: Bacteria
Description: partial 16S ribosomal RNA
Rfam family: Bacterial small subunit ribosomal RNA
Source: RNAcentral